CCGAGUUAGGGUCCCUUAGGGCUCGACCUCCAAACCCUUGUGUACCUCACAUGCCUGUUGCUUCGGCAGGCCCCCGUGCCUGCCGGAGCCCCAACAAAAAAAAUAUUGUCAUCGUGUCGUGUCUGAGUUUAAAAUGUUAAAUUGUUUA
Molecule: unclassified non-coding RNA, 148 nt
Filed under: uncultured Ascomycota
Lineage: Eukaryota; Fungi; Ascomycota
Description: sequence contains ITS1
Source: RNAcentral